GCCCCCUCAAAUGACAUCGAAACUAAAUUCAUCUUAACUAAAUUGAUCUCUCUGAUUUCAUUACAACUGCAUCGAACAUUCUUAUGAUGUUCCAAUUUUGCCUUUUGUACAUACAUUUUUGUUGUCCCUUAUUUUUUAUUUUCCUGAAUUUCAUGAAUGAUCAUUCGAUUUAUAUGUGUUUAUAUCUUGCAUCAUGUUUUACAAAGCAGUCCUAUUU
Molecule: long non-coding RNA, 217 nt
Filed under: Mytilus galloprovincialis (Mediterranean mussel)
Lineage: Eukaryota; Metazoa; Mollusca; Bivalvia; Mytilida; Mytilidae
Source: RNAcentral